This is a long non-coding RNA of Lutra lutra (Eurasian river otter), 575 nucleotides long. RefSeq lists it as uncharacterized. Lineage: Eukaryota; Metazoa; Chordata; Mammalia; Carnivora; Mustelidae. The transcript is spliced from 2 exons. The record is from RefSeq and is a predicted model, not a curated record.
GAGCAGGGAGACCGACACAGGGCUCCGUCUCAGAAUCCUGGGAUCAUGACCUGACCUGAAAGCAGACACUUAACUGAAUGAGUCACCCAGGCGCCCCGUCCUAACCAAUUUUAAGCACAUAGUUCUGUGGCAGGACUUACUACUAACCAGUUAGGCGGAAGCAUCUUUCCUGCUUCCCCCAGGAACACUUUAGACCACAAGGGGUGUUUGCCUCAGGAACAAGAACUCAAGAUGCUGCUUUACAAUAAAACCUGCAGGGUAGGAGGAGCUAGUGAACCAGGAGGGGACUGGGCUGGGCAGAACCACAGACAUGCCUGGUGACUCCGUGUGAACACACCGUUCACGUGGUGGGCUGUAAUGUUUUAAAUCUAUGCCGACAUGUUAACCUCUUCAGAGCACUUCUGAUGUUUAGGCACUGAGUUAGCACAGGUUCUGUAAUACCGUCGGGGGUCUGGAACUUGUUUCAUGAAUUGCAUCGACCCCCUUCUCAGAAUCCCGUCGGUAUGAAGCAGAAUGUAUAGGAUUACCAAGGAACCAACCACACGGAAAUACACCUUUCAGAAUACUCAGGAAAA